AUACGGAGGAUGCGAGCGUUAUCCGGAUUUAUUGGGUUUAAAGGGUGCGUAGGCGGAAAGUUAAGUCAGCGGUGAAACGCAGGUGCUCAACACCUGACCUGCCGUUGAGACUGGUUUUCUAGAAUGCGGAUGCUGUGGGAGGAAUGUGUGGUGUAGCGGUGAAAUGCAUAGAUAUCACACAGAACGCCGAUUGCGAAGGCAUCUCACAAAUCCGCGAGUGACGCUGAGGCACGAAGGUGCGGGGAUCGAACAGGAUUAGAUACCCUGGUAGUCCGCACAGUAAACGAUGAUAACUCGCUGUCGGCGAUAGACAGUCGGUGGCCAAGCGAAAGCGAUAAGUUAUCCACCUGGGGAGUACGACCGCAAGGUUGAAACUCAAAUGAAUUGACGGGG
RNAcentral lists this ribosomal RNA (393 nucleotides) under uncultured bacterium. RNAcentral's name for it is "partial 16S ribosomal RNA". It matches the Rfam family "Bacterial small subunit ribosomal RNA", at positions 523 to 918 of the family's 1533-position model. The record is from RNAcentral.